RNAcentral lists this ribosomal RNA (497 nucleotides) under uncultured bacterium. Its description in RNAcentral is "partial 16S ribosomal RNA". It matches the Rfam family "Bacterial small subunit ribosomal RNA", at positions 28 to 507 of the family's 1533-position model. The record is from RNAcentral.
GAUGAACGCUGGCGGCGUGCCUAAUACAUGCAAGUCGAGCGAACAGAUGAGGAGCUUGCUCCUCUGACGUUAGCGGCGGACGGGUGAGUAACACGUGGAUAACCUACCUAUAAGACUGGGAUAACUUCGGGAAACCGGAGCUAAUACCGGAUAAUAUAUUGAACCGCAUGGUUCAAUAGGGAAAGACGGUUUUGCUGUCACUUAUAGAUGGAUCCGCGCCGCAUUAGCUAGUUGGUAAGGUAACGGCUUACCAAGGCAACGAUGCGUAGCCGACCUGAGAGGGUGAUCGGCCACACUGGAACUGAGACACGGUCCAGACUCCUACGGGAGGCAGCAGUAGGGAAUCUUCCGCAAUGGGCGAAGGCCUGACGGAGCAACGCCGCGUGAGUGAUGAAGGUCUUCGGAUCGUAAAACUCUGUUAUUAGGGAAGAACAAAUGUGUAAGUAACUAUGCACGUCUUGACGGUACCUAAUCAGAAAGCCACGGCUAACUACGUG